UUGGCAUAUAAAUGGCCUUGCCUCCUCGGGUGUACUGCGUGGAGUCAGCAUUAGGGAAAGGAGUCAUGCCCUGCUGGCACUGACACACAUCGAAGGCUUGGUGGCCCUGGUGUAGGGGGGGUGUUCACACAGCACUCAGCCUGGCAGCUGGUUUCUAUCCCAUAUGCAGCCCAACCUACGCAAAACCCACACGCAAGAGUGCUUUCUGUAAGGAGCCCCUGCUCUAGCCUGGGGGACCCCCCCCCAAGUUGAGAGUGCUGGAAAACUGGAUGACUGCCCAGUUCUGGGAGAGCUGUCUCCUGGGAUGCCUACUCGAGAGAGCACCUAUCAAGGCGGAGGAGAGACUGUCAGGAGCAGCUCAGGAUGCUUUGUGGAAGCCGGCCUCCCGGGACCAAUCCCCGAAGCACAGCACUGCCUGUGAUUGUUGCGGCUUCUUCCCACCUCGCCAUCAGCCCACACAGUCUCUAGAACCAAACACAUCUUUCGAUUCUUUUGUUUUAAGA
Long non-coding RNA from Erinaceus europaeus (western European hedgehog), 503 nucleotides. RefSeq lists it as uncharacterized. The transcript has 3 exons. NCBI's taxonomy places the organism in Eukaryota, Metazoa, Chordata, Mammalia, Eulipotyphla, Erinaceidae. The record is from RefSeq and is a predicted model, not a curated record.